Molecule: ribosomal RNA, 253 nt
Filed under: uncultured bacterium
Lineage: Bacteria
Description: partial 16S ribosomal RNA
Rfam family: Bacterial small subunit ribosomal RNA
Source: RNAcentral
GACGGAGGAUGCAAGCGUUAUCCGGAAUGAUUGGGCGUAAAGCGUCCGCAGGUGGCAGUUCAAGUCUGCUGUCAAAGACCGGGGCUUAACUUCGGAAAGGCAGUGGAAACUGAACAGCUAGAGUAUGGUAGGGGCAGAGGGAAUUCCUGGUGUAGCGGUGAAAUGCGUAGAUAUCAGGAAGAACAUCGGUGGCGAAGGCGGCCAUCUGGACGGAUACUGACGCUGAGACGCGAAAGCGUGGGUAGCAAACAGG